Molecule: unclassified non-coding RNA, 69 nt
Organism: Meriones unguiculatus (Mongolian gerbil)
Lineage: Eukaryota; Metazoa; Chordata; Mammalia; Rodentia; Muridae
Source: Ensembl
GAGAUAGAUGAGCGUGGCCAGCUCGCUGGUCAUGUUAACAAGCCUCGUCAUAAAGAUGGGGAUGGUAUG